UACGUAGGGUCCGAGCGUUGUCCGGAAUUAUUGGGCGUAAAGAGCUCGUAGGCGGUUUGUCGCGUCUGCUGUGAAAUCCCGAGGCUCAACCUCGGGCCUGCAGUGGGUACGGGCAGACUGGAGUGCGGUAGGGGAGAAUGGAAUUCCUGGUGUAGCGGUGGAAUGCGCAGAUAUCAGGAGGAACACCGGUGGCGAAGGCGGCUUUCUGGGCCUUACCUGACGCUGAGGAGCGAAAGCUGGGGGAGCAAACAGG
Molecule: ribosomal RNA, 253 nt
Filed under: uncultured bacterium
Lineage: Bacteria
Description: partial 16S ribosomal RNA
Rfam family: Bacterial small subunit ribosomal RNA
Source: RNAcentral